ACUAGAGUAUGAUUGAGGUAAGCGGAAUUUCUAGUGUAGAGGUGAAAUUCGUAGAUAUUAGAAAGAACACCAAUUGCGAAGGCAGCUUUCUGGAUCAUUACUGACACUGAGGUGCGAAAGCAUGGGUAGCGAAGAGGAUUAGAUACCCUCGUAGUCCAUGCCGUAAACGAUGUGUGCUAGACGUUGGGAAUUUAUUUUUCAGUGUCGCAGCAAAAGCGUUAAGCACACCGCCUGGGGAGUACGACCGCAAGGUUAAAACUCAAAUGAAUUGACGGGGACCCGCACAAGUAGUGGAGCAUGUGGUUUAAUUCGAAGAUACGCGCAGAACCUUACCAACACUUGACAUGUUCGUCGCGACUCUAAGAGAUUAGAGUUUUCGGUUCGGCCGGACGAAACACAGGUGCUGCAUGGCUGUCGUCAGCUCGUGUCGUGAGAUGUUGGGUUAAGUCCCGCAACGAGCGCAACCCUUACUUUUAGUUGCUACCAUUUAGUUGGGCACUCUAAAAGAACUGCCAGUGAUAAGCUGGAGGAAGGUGGGGAUGACGUCAAGUCCUCAUGGCCCUUAUGUGUUGGGCUACACACGUGCUACAAUGGUAUUUACAGUGGGAUGCAAAGAGGCAACUCCAAGCAAACCCUCAAAAAAUACCUCAGUUCGGAUUGUACUCUGCAACUCGAGUACAUGAAGCUGG
Molecule: ribosomal RNA, 689 nt
Filed under: uncultured bacterium
Lineage: Bacteria
Description: bacterial SSU rRNA
Rfam family: Bacterial small subunit ribosomal RNA
Source: RNAcentral